GGGCUCAACCUGGGAACUGCAUUUGAGACUGCCAAGCUGGAGUUUGGCAGAGGGGGGUGGAAUUCCACGUGUAGCAGUGAAAUGCGUAGAGAUGUGGAGGAACACCGAUGGCGAAGGCAGCCCCCUGGGCCAAUACUGACGCUCAUGCACGAAAGCGUGGGGAGCAAACAGGAUUAGAUACCCUGGUAGUCCACGCCCUAAACGAGUUCAACUAGGUGUUUGG
This 223-nucleotide ribosomal RNA is filed under the name uncultured beta proteobacterium. Its description in RNAcentral is "partial 16S rRNA". It matches the Rfam family "Bacterial small subunit ribosomal RNA", at positions 605 to 827 of the family's 1533-position model. The record is from RNAcentral. Lineage: Bacteria; Pseudomonadati; Pseudomonadota; Betaproteobacteria.